CAAAACAAUUGAGAAGAACCAGCAGUAGAACAAAAUUAUUUAAUUCAUUCCUUUUUAUGGUGAUUGUGAAGAAUGGGUACUUUUCACCACGAACUGCGUCUAUAUUCCAGAUAUAUAUAUAUACACAUUCUGGAGUUAUUCACCUUUUAACCUAAUUUCUGUUUGAAACACACCUUCAAUUCAAACCAACAGACAAUCAGAAACCAGAGCCAACCAGUGAAGAAAGUAAUGAAAGAGAUGAGAAGCAGAAACCCCGCUUAACCAAACAGGUGAUUUUUCUGAAUCCUACAAAUCAUGGUGAUUAAUAUUUAAUUAAUUUCAAAAUUUGAUUUUGUGGUGAGUUUAUAAUCGAUUUUGAAUGGAGAGUGAGAGUGAUUGAUAUUUUUAUUUUCUGAAUCCUAUGAGUCAACAACAUCUUCGUCGUUUCUAUGGUGAUUUAACAAAAAACUGAUGCCGAUUGUUUUAGAUGGCAAUUGGUGGGUGAUUUAGAGUUCCUUUAUGAUUACGAGUGUUGGGUUUGUAUGGAUUUUGAAUUUUUUGCAGGGAAGGAGAUGAAACAAGGGUUGAAAGAACACAAUAGACUCAUCUCCUCGAAUACCAGUUCACGUCCAGCAACUGUUCGAAGAAAGUCCCGAAAAGAAUUUCUCUUAUAUUACUAGUCCAUACAUCAUAUUUACCAGGUUUUGGACAACAAUGGCAAGGAUUUGGAUACAGUGAGGAUUGUUCAUUGGCUUUCAAUGUUGGUUUAGGGAUAAAGUAUGUGGUAGAUUGAGCUAAGAGUGAUAGACUGGUGAUGGUUAAAUAAAAUCUACUAGUGUUGGUGUAUGUUCAUUGACAUGGCUGUGGAGAUGGUGAGAAGCAGUAUGGGGGAUGAAUGAAGUUUGUGAGUCAGCUGUUUUGACAUGGAUUUGAUGGUGGUGAAUUGGUGGUAGUAUACAGAAGCUACACCAAUGGAGUAAUGGUUUCAGGGUUUGAUACUCCGGGAAACACUCCGGGGAGUAAUGAGGAGCCAGGAGUUGCAUGGAUGAGACUCAGAUGCAGGUGCAGGCAGAAAAUUGAUGAAAGAGUUGAGCUUGUGGCGCUGUUGCAGGCAGAGAAUGGAGGUAGAAUGUUGAUAUCAUGUUCUUGCAGUUUAUGUUGAAGAGGAAAUGAAAUAUAUGUUUUGGGUUGCUUAUGUUAGAAAACUUCUGACCAAGAUGCAAAGCGUAUCCAAGGCAACUCUUCAUUAGCAGUUCAUGCGCAACAUGUGUUUGAUAGAAGUUUUGAAUGAUCCAUCUACAAUCACAAGAUGAGUGAACUCAACGAUUCAAAGGGCUAAUAUGUCUUUUUAUGUCAUGUUAACUGCCCACGUGGAGGCUAACUUUCCAUCCAUCGUUUUUGGUCAAAUAAGUGUUGUGAUAUUUCGAUUGCGGUAAAUAAGAGUUCGUUGCUCGGACUUGUAAAGAUUUAAAAAUAAAGAUAUA
This is a long non-coding RNA of Papaver somniferum (opium poppy), 1463 nucleotides long. RefSeq lists it as uncharacterized. The transcript is spliced from 3 exons. The record is from RefSeq and is a predicted model, not a curated record. NCBI's taxonomy places the organism in Eukaryota, Viridiplantae, Streptophyta, Magnoliopsida, Ranunculales, Papaveraceae.